ACGACGCUGGCGGCGUGGAUUAGGCAUGCAAGUCGAACGGUAGGAUACCUUCGGGUAUCUGAGAGUGGCGAACGGGUGAGUAACACGUAGGUGAUCUACCCUCAAGAUUGGGACAACCCAGGGAAACUUGGGCUAAUACCGGAUGAAAGCAGCAGUGAUGUUGUUUGAAAGAUGGCAGUAAUGCUGUUGUUUGAGGAUGAGCCUGCGUCCCAUUAGUUAGUUGGUAAGGUAAUGGCUUACCAAGGCGAUGAUAGGUAGGCGGCCUUAACGGGUGGUCGCCCACACUGGGAUUGAGAUACGGCCCAGACUCCUACGGGAGGCAGCAGUCGAGAAUAGUCUACAAUGGUCGAAAGACUGAUAGUGCGACGCCGCGUGAACGAAGAAGCCCUUCGGGGUGUAAAGUUCUUUUAUAUGUGAGCAAUGCCUUUUAUGUGAAUAGCAUGAGAGGAGCGAUAUUAGCAUAUGAAUAAGCAACGGCUAACUCCGUG
RNAcentral lists this ribosomal RNA (488 nucleotides) under uncultured bacterium. RNAcentral's name for it is "bacterial SSU rRNA". It matches the Rfam family "Bacterial small subunit ribosomal RNA", at positions 33 to 507 of the family's 1533-position model. The record is from RNAcentral.